AUAUGAAGUUCUAAAAGCAAGUCUUAAUCAGGAAGUGUCCUUGAUCACCAACUGCUUGCCCAGGCACGCUGGCUCUCUUACACUUCCACCUCCCACCAUGGGAUGACACAGUAAGAAGGCCGUCAGUAGAUGCCAGUCCCUCAGCCUUGAACCUUCCAGACUCAGAACUUUAUACCUCCAUUUUCCUCUGCUGCGUGGCCCCAGGAGAGAUUUUAAUUAGCUUUCUAACCUUGGUCCAGAUUGCACAUGCAAAGGGUAGAGGAUGCAACACCCCCGCUUGUGGAGCUGCCACUUGUCUCUGGCAUGGAUGCCCCUUCUAGAUGUUCAUGGCUUACUCCCUGCCAUGUUGUCAGGUAUUUGAGCUCUCUGUUCCCACUCAGAGUAGAUGAGCAGAAGAGGAAAUGAGGGCCUUCCCAGAGCAACUCCCCCAGAUGAACAGAGCCAGGCUGCCUGGAUUCACUAUUAUCUUCAUCUCUUAGCUGUGUCAUCACGAGUUGUUUAAUUCGUCAGCACUUAAUUUUCUUGACCUGCAAAAAUAUGGAUCAUAAUGAUCAUUAACUAAUAAGUUUACCAUGAGGAUUAACUGUAUAUUAAGGGCUGAUAAAAUUAUAUGUUACAAAAAAAUUCACGAGAAGAGAGGAAAUACUGAGGAGAAAAUGGCAGAUUGUGUUUGCUGACUUUUAUUGACAAAGAAGUCACCAUGAAAAUCACAGUGAACCAUUUGGAAAGCAAACUGCCAAAAAAUAAUAGUUAGUCAUGCUCUCAGGCUGGUUAUUUUGGCUGUUGUGGGUUUCUUGCAUUUCCAGAUGAUUGCAAAGAGCUGUUUCUCAAUUUCUGCAACAAAUGCCAGCUGAAAUUUUGCUACCAGUUUCAUUAAACAUGUAGAACAAUUUGAGCCUGAGUGAGUUCUGUGGAGCCCAUACUACCUGUGAUUCAAGCCAGGAAUCUUGGAAUCUCCCUGAACAAUUUCUAUGGUGUCGUCACAUUUGCUAUUACUCCCCACACUCAGACUGUGUGUUUUUGGCUGCUCACCAAGCCCUUGAGGAAAACACUUGGAGUCAAUAUCAUCCUUUUGAUGCAGUGCUGAGUAAUGAAGUAUUUCCCUGUCUAAAGAUUUUAGAAGAUGGACAAAAGAAAAAUACAUUGCACUCUGAGACAUUCUGCAUAAAAAUGGAAUGUGUGGUUAGUGUGGCAUUAGAUUAACUCAGGCUUUGGACUUCGGGGCAUAAAAUCCAUUUCCUCUCACACCAGUCUCUGAAGCUUAAAGGAUUCAUUAUUUCCAGUUGCAAAUGCCAUCAGAAAAGGAUUGCUUUUCUUUCUAAUAACACCAAGAAUGUAGUUUACCAUUGUGAAUAAACUGUCUUAAGCUUUCCCUGAAUAAAAUAAAUACAAAUGCUCCUC
This 1401-nucleotide long non-coding RNA is filed under the name Pongo abelii (Sumatran orangutan). Its description in RNAcentral is "lincRNA". Lineage: Eukaryota; Metazoa; Chordata; Mammalia; Primates; Hominidae. The record is from RNAcentral.